ACACUAAUAUUCAUCAAAUACAUGUGCAUAAGCUUACAUCAUUGAUGAAUACAAUCAUCUGGCUUAGCCCAAUGACUAUUUAAAUGGCAGCGGAAGUCUAUUAAAAUGGCGGCGGAAGUCUUGGUUUGGCAGCAUAACAACUCUGGCUGGGCUCCACAACUCACAGGACUGGCAAGAUUACGGCCUAGCACGACGGAUCAAGCGAACAAUACGGGUACGACCUACAAAACUGGCAUGACACGCUAGGUUAGUACAUUGAAUGUACUUGCAAGACAACCAAAUACAUAGCAUCCAAACAAGCAGAAGACAAAGCGAGAACCGAGCGCAUGCAACAGCCUAUCUCAUAUCAAUUACUAGACAUGGCAUGAUAAAGAUCAACUAAGCAUGAACAAAAUCAUGGCAAUAACAUGGCCUAACAAAACAUGCUUAUAACAUGGUAAUAGCAAAACAUAGCAUAUUACCUCAAUCAUGGCAUAACUUAACAUGACAAUCAAAGCAUGGCAUGGCAUCAUGAAACUACGCUGAAAAUAAACUACCGAUUAUAUCUAAUGCAGACAUAGCAUGUUAACUUUAUGCAAUCAUCUUCUGUUCUGCCUAGGUUUUUAAAUGCAACAUAUUACUCAUGCAAUGCAACCAACCUUGUGCACCGAGUCCCUCGGACUCUCUUACCAACGGGUUGCCUCGCAACCGAACGGUGAUCUUUCCGGCGAUCACAACCAUGACCAACACUUGGUCUCCAACACUUACCGAGACCUCAUCUCAUGAUCAUAUCAAAACAUUUCCGUGACUUCUCACGACUAUCUCAUAGUCCACAUCACCACAUUCUUAUUGUCACAUUAAUUUACUUAAUUUUUUUAGGUUUAUCAUCCAUUUCGACCAAGACCUGAUAGUGUGACCUACUACGAACUUUGUUGCUAUCGAUAGACUUUAUAUACACUCUGCAGAGAUAGCACACUGUACCCACACCACGGGACCCAUGGCCUCGUCAUCCCAUUUGGGUGGACCAACGGCAUUCUAACUAAACCGACCUACUGCCAUGACACUCUCCCGGCCACUGCGACCCAUUCCGAACUGGGCUAGUCCUGGGUGGCCCCGUGUCUAUCAAAGACAUAAUGACCACCGUCGUGGCCAAAACGUCCCUCACGGGGACCGGUACCAAAAAAAUUAAUAACAGGCACACAAGGUUAUGUCCGCCUACCUGAUCAGGGUAAGCAUGCCCAUAACCUUCCCUAGUUGGAGGCACCGGCGAGAGGCAUGCCAAUAGAUCGCAUUAAGGCCUUCCCAUAAAGGCAAAUGUGGCUGCACUGAAAAAGUUUGAUUUGGUGGCACCAUGACUCGAUCCCAUCGAUUAUGGAGGAGGUUUGUUAUUAUUAACUCAUAUUAAUUCCUUCUCCAUCAUCAUGAACAUGAAUGCAACAAUGAGCAUGCAAUAUACAAAUGCGUGAACAAAAUAUUGAACUUCUCAAGUGCACAACUAUAGCAUAAAGAACAUGACCAUACCAAGUAAUAGCAUAUCAACGGUGCAUUACAAUCCUCAUAACAUUUUAUAACAAUGACAUGCAAAUAAAGUAGAGUAGUGACAUGGCAUUGUCAAUAACAACAUUCUAGCUAGCAUGGCAAAUGAUAUCGUGCAAACACAAGCAUGCAUGACAGGCAUAAUGGAAUAACUGCAGACGAAAAUGAUAUGAAACAACUGCAACUACACACACACAAGGUGCAAGAAAAGUCAACAUGCAAGUUCGGGGCUCAUGAUAAGAGGUUGGCUUGCCUGGGGGUUGACAAAUACUCCGGGAAAAAGUGCGGAAGGAUCGCGGAAAGGUUUGCCGAAAACAGUUCUCUUUCGGAGGGGGCUGUUUACGGGAAAGGGAAAAAGGUCAUUUUCACUGUGUGAAAACAUUAUGAAACUGAUACCAACAAAACGGGCUCGACGAAAUGAAGACGUGAGCUCUGGAAUCACCUGAUUUGGAGCUACGGGUAAAAAGAUAUGAUUGUUUAACUACCAGGGACCUAUCUGUAAAGAACAUCAUUACAAACUGGCCCCUAGCAGAAAAACAAGUCACGCCUUUCUCAGAAAUAUGCUUUCCAGAGAGGAAAGCGCAUUCUGGCCCAAAGAAGUGGAGGAAUACGCUUUCGGCUUAGGGAAAGCGCACUCUCCGGAAUACGCCUCCGGGGCCCCAAAAAUGGAAAACUGCCCGAGGCGCCGCCACUUAACUAACGUGGCGAAGCGGGGUCAACGCGGGCUCACUGACGAGGGGGACCCGCGAGGGGUGGGGCCCGCCUGGCUGGCUUCUUCUUCCUCCCGCUCGACGCGCGCCCGGCUGAGGGGAGACGCCCGCCCCGACGGCACUUGCCGGCGCGUCCGGCCAUGGCAGCGGACAGGCAACCUACCAAAAUGCUCGGGACGGCGAGGGGCACCUCGGGGUGGUGCUAGCUUCCUCUGAGGAACACCAGGGAGGGAGCUGCACGGCCCAUGGCGGAGAGUGGGUUCGGCCAUCGGUGGACACAGUGCUACGGUGGGGAAGGAAAGGGGGCGAGCCACGGGGCGGCUCGCCAGACCUUGGGGAAUGCUCUGGUGGUGGAGGAACUGAGGGGGAAAGCACGAGGUCGCUGGAUUCAAGAUGGACAAAGGCGGCGGCCACGGCGGCGAUGGAGAUCAGAGAGGGGCUCCGAGCUCGGGAAGAGGCCUAGGGAAGGAUGG
Molecule: long non-coding RNA, 2698 nt
Filed under: Triticum aestivum (bread wheat)
Lineage: Eukaryota; Viridiplantae; Streptophyta; Magnoliopsida; Poales; Poaceae
Description: long non-coding RNA (TAES_LNC005720)
Source: RNAcentral